GAUGAACGCUGACGGCGUGCCUAAUACAUGCAAGUCGAACGAAAGGACGUGAAUUUUGUUGCUCUGAUGUUAGAGGCGGAUGGGUAAGUAAUAAGUGGCUCACCUACCUAUAAGACUCGGCUAACUUCGAGACACCGGAGAUAAUACCGGAUAAUAUUUUGAACCGCAGGGUUCAACAGUGGAUGACGGUCUUGCUGUCACUUAUAGAUGGAUCGGCGCUGGAUUAGCUGGUUGGUAAGGUAAUGGUUUACGACGGCAACGGCGAAUAGCCGACGUGAGAGGGUGAUCGUCCACACUGGAACUGAGACACGGUCCAGACUCCGACGGGAGGCAGCAGUAGGGAAUCGUACGCAAUGAGCGAAAGCCUGACGGAGCAGCGCCGCGUGAGUGAUGAAGGUCUUGGGAUCGUAAUUCUCUGUUACUAUGGAAGGCCAUAUGUCUAAGUAACUGUGCACAUCUUGACGGUACCUAAACAGAAAGCCACGGCUAACUACGUG
RNAcentral lists this ribosomal RNA (497 nucleotides) under uncultured bacterium. RNAcentral describes it as "partial 16S ribosomal RNA". It matches the Rfam family "Bacterial small subunit ribosomal RNA", at positions 28 to 507 of the family's 1533-position model. The record is from RNAcentral.